Non-coding RNA from Dermacentor andersoni, 431 nucleotides. Lineage: Eukaryota; Metazoa; Arthropoda; Arachnida; Ixodida; Ixodidae. The record is from RefSeq and is a predicted model, not a curated record.
CACGCUAGUGAAAUUCUACAUAUUUCCGGGCAGGUAUUUCAAGAAAGAGAGGAGAGAAGCGUGAACCACUACUGCUGUUGGCAAAGUCAAACCGCGCAACAGCGUUCGCAGCCGCUGUCGACACUCCGGGUCCUUCAAGAGGCACCGUCGGCCAGCAACAACCGAAGACGACGGAGACUCGAGCGUAAUCGCAGAGCAUCGGAACGCACUGAAGGUACAUACGACACCACGCUAGUCACCAGUUGCGUCGGCAGCUAUUGUAUGCAGAUGGUAAAGAGUCGCAAGCAUCAUAAUACGGUCUGCCCAUUGUGCCGUUGAUAUCAGGCGAUUCUUGAGUUCCUGUGUGUUCACCAGCGACGCAUGCAGUCUGCACCCUGAGUACGUAUCAAGACAUUAGAAGAUCAAAGCGAGUCAAGUGCAAGUCAAGCCCU